CAGCAGCCGCGGGAAUACGUAGGGUGCAAGCGUUAAUCGGAAUUACUGGGCGUAAAGCGUGCGCAGGCGGUGUUGUAAGACUGAUGUGAAAUCCCCGGGCUCAACCUGGGAACUGCAUUGGUGACUGCAACGCUGGAGUGCGGCAGAGGGGGAUGGAAUUCCGCGUGUAGCAGUGAAAUGCGUAGAUAUGCGGAGGAACACCGAUGGCGAAGGCAAUCCCCUGGGCCUGCACUGACGCUCAUGCACGAAAGCGUGGGGAGCAAACAGGAUUAGAUACCCCCGUAGUCCCUGUCUCUUAUAC
Molecule: ribosomal RNA, 301 nt
Filed under: uncultured bacterium
Lineage: Bacteria
Description: partial 16S ribosomal RNA
Rfam family: Bacterial small subunit ribosomal RNA
Source: RNAcentral